This 253-nucleotide ribosomal RNA is filed under the name uncultured bacterium. RNAcentral describes it as "partial 16S ribosomal RNA". It matches the Rfam family "Bacterial small subunit ribosomal RNA", at positions 524 to 776 of the family's 1533-position model. The record is from RNAcentral.
UACGAAGGGUGCAAACGUUGCUCGGAAUUACUGGGCGUAAAGGGCUCGUAGGCGGCCAACUAAGUCGGAUGUGAAAUCCCCAGGCUUAACCUGGGAACUGCAUCCGAUACUGGAUGGCUUGAAUCCGGGAGAGGGAUGCAGAAUUCCAGGUGUAGCGGUGAAAUGCGUAGAUAUCUGGAGGAAUACCGGUGGCGAAGGCGGGUCUCUGGGCCGAUACUGACGCUGAGGAGCGAAAGCGUGGGGAGCGAACAGG